AAAGUUAAACCCUGAAUCCUACUUUAACUUCGAGGUUCUUAUUGCGUUUCUAGUUUUUAUACUGAAUGAUAAACAAAACAUCAAGUCAAUUUGAACUACAAAAACACAAACCAAGCUUCUUCAUGAUUCUCAAAGCUUUGAUGGUGAAACCGAAGUUCUUAACAGUUUUUGCUUUUGAAUCGUAUAACAAGGAAGCACUACUUUACUCUUCGGGAUCUCGUUGAGGUUCUAGUUUUAUAUUCAAUCAUACACAUGACAUCUACUCAUAUUUCACUCUGAAAUGCUAACCUAGAUUCUUCUUGCUCUUCAAAGCUUUGAUGGUGUAACCUAAGUCCCUAU
RNAcentral lists this small RNA (339 nucleotides) under Arabidopsis thaliana (thale cress). Its description in RNAcentral is "ATSL039420". The record is from RNAcentral. Lineage: Eukaryota; Viridiplantae; Streptophyta; Magnoliopsida; Brassicales; Brassicaceae.